RNAcentral lists this ribosomal RNA (338 nucleotides) under uncultured Anaerolineaceae bacterium. RNAcentral describes it as "bacterial SSU rRNA". It matches the Rfam family "Bacterial small subunit ribosomal RNA", at positions 1032 to 1382 of the family's 1533-position model. Lineage: Bacteria; Bacillati; Chloroflexota; Anaerolineae; Anaerolineales; Anaerolineaceae. The record is from RNAcentral.
ACGUAGGCGUUGCAUGGCUGUCGUCAGCUCGUGUCGUGAGAUGUUCGGUUAAGUCCGCUAACGAGCGCAACCCUCGCUGUGUGUUACAAGUGUCACACGGAACUGCCGGUCAUAAACCGGAGGAAGGUGGGGAUGACGUCAAGUCAGCAUGGCCUUUAUAUCCUGGGCUACACACACGCUACAAUGGGAAGGGACAAUAGGUUGCGAAGCCGCGAGGCGGAGCCAAUCCAGCAAAACUUCCCUCAGUUCAGAUUGCAGGCUGCAACCCGCCUGCAUGAAGUUGGAGUUGCUAGUAAACGCAGGUCAGCCAUACUGCGUUGAAUACGUUCCCGGGGCUU